AUACGGAGGAUCCGAGCGUUAUCCGGAUUUAUUGGGUUUAAAGGGUGCGCAGGCGGCCAUUUAAGUCAGCGGUUAAAUCGUGGGGCUCAACCCCAUUCUGCCGUUGAUACUGGGUGGCUUGAUUGCGGUCGAGGUUGGCGGAAUUCGUUGUGUAGCGGUGAAAUGCAUAGAUAUGACGAAGAACACCGAUUGCGUAGGCAGCUGACCAGACCGCAAAUGACGCUCAUGCACGAAAGUGCGGGGAUCGAACAGGAUUAGAUACCCUGGUAGUCCGCACAGUAAACGAUGAAUACUUGUUUUCGGCGAUAUAAUGUCGGAGGCAAAGCGAAAGCGAUAAGUAUUCCACCUGGGGAGUACGCCGGCAACGGUGAAACUCAAAUGAAUUGGCGG
RNAcentral lists this ribosomal RNA (390 nucleotides) under uncultured bacterium. RNAcentral describes it as "partial 16S ribosomal RNA". It matches the Rfam family "Bacterial small subunit ribosomal RNA", at positions 523 to 916 of the family's 1533-position model. The record is from RNAcentral.